This 1341-nucleotide long non-coding RNA is filed under the name Canis lupus dingo (dingo). Its description in RNAcentral is "lncRNA (ENSCAFG00020025971.1)". The record is from RNAcentral. Lineage: Eukaryota; Metazoa; Chordata; Mammalia; Carnivora; Canidae.
AUGAAGAAGAUAAAAGCGAGAAACUGCCUUUUUACAGCAGGUCAGCAAACUUCGCAGGGAAAUGAGAACCUCCGUCCUCAGGGUACCCCGGCUGCCCAAGGGACCGCGCACCUGUCGGCGGCCCCGCCCCGCGCCCCCCGCGCCCCGCCCCGCAGGCGGCCGGGGCACACGCACCUGGGGCACCUGGGCGCCGUGGCACCGCGGACGGAGGCGCAGGGCCAAGGUCUCCCGGCCGAACGAGAGGCCCAAGAAGGUUCCACCUGUAACUCGCGGGACGCCCGAGCGCCUCCAGCGCCUUCAGCUCGAGGCCCCGCCCGACGGUGCGCCCUGCCCCGGGCCGUGCCCCCGUCCCAGCAGCUCCGCGCACCCCGAGGAGGAGGUUCCAAGGGCGGAAAAGGGGGUCGCAGGAGGCGAGGUGGGCGCCCCGGGCCUCGGGCUCCCCCCGCGCUGCACCCGCCGACGCCCAGGGGCCCCGGGGCCGGGACGCUGAGGCCUCAGGCCCCUGGAUCGCGCCCGCGGCGAGCGCCCCUUCGCUCCGCUCCCCGCCCCGCGCCCGCCGCUCGGCCCGCGACGCCGGGAGGGGAUGCCCUGCGCGCACCUGCCCGGGUGCAGCCCCGGCUCCUUAGCCGCAGGAGCCCUCCCCACCCAGCUGCUCACCUUGCACGCUGCCACUGCCGGGGACAGCGGCCGCCAGCAGGACGGCCACCCCCAGCAGCCGCGCGGCGCGCACGCUUCGCAUCCUCCUGCUGCCCGCCGCCGGCCGGGCCCGGGGUCGCCGCCGCUCCGCCCGCCUCGCCGGUCUCACCCGCCGCAGUCCCAGCCUGCGCGCCGCUCCCCGAGACCAGAAGUUUCAGUGAAACCCGAGCCUCCCGGCGCACCUGCGCUCGGCCCCGCCCCGGCCCCGGCCCCGCCCCCUGCCGGGGGGCUCCGGGCGCUCCCGCCCACGCGCCGCAGGCGCAGGGCCGCGGGGGGAGGGGGAGCCCGCAGGGCGAGGGGGAGCCCCCAGGGGGAGGAGGAGCCCCCAGGGAGAGGAGGAGCCCCCAGGGAGACGGGGAGCCCGCAGGGGGAAGGGGGAGCGGAGGGGAGGGGGAGCGGGGGGGGGAGCCCGCACGGGGAGGAGGAGCCCCCAGAGGGAGGGGGAGCCCCCAGGGGGAGGGAGGGAGUGGGGGGGAGCCCGCAGGGGGAGGGGGGAGGGGGAGUGGGGGGAGCCCCCAGGGGGAGGGGGGGAGGGGGAGUGGGGGGGAGCCCGCAGGGGGAGGGGGAGCCCCCAGGGGGAGGAGGAGCCGCGGGAUGGGGGAGCCCCGUGGGGGAGCCGGGGAGUGGGGGUUGCAGCUGAAGUAG